AUCGAGUGGAACUUAUUUUGUGGUCGUCGAUCACACCCCUUUUGGUUUUGAGAACGAUGUGGCCUUUUGCGAGUACUUGAUUAAGGAAGUUGGUGUGGUUGCGAUUCCUACGAGUGUAUUUUAUCUCAACCCCGAGGAUGGAAAGAAUCUGGUGAGGUUCACUUUCUGCAAGGAUGAGACUACUUUGAGGGCAGCAGCUGAG
This 202-nucleotide unclassified non-coding RNA is filed under the name Hevea brasiliensis (rubber tree). The record is from RNAcentral. Lineage: Eukaryota; Viridiplantae; Streptophyta; Magnoliopsida; Malpighiales; Euphorbiaceae.